Molecule: transfer RNA, 72 nt
Filed under: Phrynosoma platyrhinos (Desert horned lizard)
Lineage: Eukaryota; Metazoa; Chordata; Lepidosauria; Squamata; Phrynosomatidae
Description: tRNA-OTHER
Rfam family: tRNA
About the family: Transfer RNA (tRNA) molecules are approximately 80 nucleotides in length. Their secondary structure includes four short double-helical elements and three loops (D, anti-codon, and T loops). Further hydrogen bonds mediate the characteristic L-shaped molecular structure. tRNAs have two regions of fundamental functional importance: the anti-codon, which is responsible for specific mRNA codon recognition, and the 3' end, to which the tRNAs corresponding amino acid is attached (by aminoacyl-tRNA synthetases). tRNAs cope with the degeneracy of the genetic code in two manners: having more than one tRNA (with a specific anti-codon) for a particular amino acid; and 'wobble' base-pairing, i.e. permitting non-standard base-pairing at the 3rd anti-codon position.
Source: RNAcentral
GCCAGUGUGGUUUAAUGGUUUGAGCAUUGGACUAUGACUCUGGAGACCAGGGUUCGAAUCCCGACUCAGUCA